This 275-nucleotide unclassified non-coding RNA is filed under the name air metagenome. RNAcentral describes it as "partial contains small subunit ribosomal RNA, internal transcribed spacer 1, and 5.8S ribosomal RNA". The stretch from base 1 to 46 matches the Rfam family "Eukaryotic small subunit ribosomal RNA", at positions 1786 to 1831 of the family's 1831-position model. The record is from RNAcentral.
AAGUCGUAACAAGGUUUCCGUAGGUGAACCUGCGGAAGGAUCAUUACCAAUUGCGAAAGGCAGAAGCAGCAUUGGCGCCCCAGUCAAGGGGAUGCCUCUGCCGCUGCUGUUCCCAACUGCAAUUUCUCUUCAGUGUAUAUCUGUCCCAUGUUGCUUCCCACUUGCGGGCUCAUGCCCUGUGGGGAGGAAAACAAAACUCUGGUGUAAUGUUUUCGGUCUGAGUGGUCAACACAUUAAACAAGUUAAAACUUUCAACAACGGAUCUCUUGGUUCUC